RNAcentral lists this non-coding RNA (30 nucleotides) under Mus musculus (house mouse). The record is from RNAcentral. Lineage: Eukaryota; Metazoa; Chordata; Mammalia; Rodentia; Muridae.
UAAAUCAGGUCGGCCAUUGCCCACCAGUGC